GGUUAAGCGACUAAGCGUACACGGUGGAUGCCCUGGCAGUCAGAGGCGAUGAAGGACGUGCUAAUCUGCGAUAAGCGUCGGUAAGGUGAUAUGAACCGUUAUAACCGGCGAUUUCCGAAUGGGGAAACCCAGUGUGUUUCGACACACUAUCAUUAACUGAAUCCAUAGGUUAAUGAGGCGAACCGGGGGAACUGAAACAUCUAAGUACCCCGAGGAAAAGAAAUCAACCGAGAUUCCCCCAGUAGCGGCGAGCGAACGGGGAGGAGCCCAGAGCCUGAAUCAGUGUGUGUGUUAGUGGAAGCGUCUGGAAAGGCGCGCGAUACAGGGUGACAGCCCCGUACACAAAAAUGCACAUGCUGUGAGCUCGAUGAGUAGGGCGGGACACGUGGUAUCCUGUCUGAAUAUGGGGGGACCAUCCUCCAAGGCUAAAUACUCCUGACUGACCGAUAGUGAACCAGUACCGUGAGGGAAAGGCGAAAAGAACCCCGGCGAGGGGAGUGAAAAAGAACCUGAAACCGUGUACGUACAAGCAGUGGGAGCACGCUUAGGCGUGUGACUGCGUACCUUUUGUAUAAUGGGUCAGCGACUUAUAUUCUGUAGCAAGGUUAACCGAAUAGGGGAGCCGAAGGGAAACCGAGUCUUAACUGGGCGUUAAGUUGCAGGGUAUAGACCCGAAACCCGGUGAUCUAGCCAUGGGCAGGUUGAAGGUUGGGUAACACUAACUGGAGGACCGAACCGACUAAUGUUGAAAAAUUAGCGGAUGACUUGUGGCUGGGGGUGAAAGGCCAAUCAAACCGGGAGAUAGCUGGUUCUCCCCGAAAGCUAUUUAGGUAGCGCCUCGUGAAUUCAUCUCCGGGGGUAGAGCACUGUUUCGGCAAGGGGGUCAUCCCGACUUACCAACCCGAUGCAAACUGCGAAUACCGGAGAAUGUUAUCACGGGAGACACACGGCGGGUGCUAACGUCCGUCGUGAAGAGGGAAACAACCCAGACCGCCAGCUAAGGUCCCAAAGUCAUGGUUAAGUGGGAAACGAUGUGGGAAGGCCCAGACAGCCAGGAUGUUGGCUUAGAAGCAGCCAUCAUUUAAAGAAAGCGUAAUAGCUCACUGGUCGAGUCGGCCUGCGCGGAAGAUGUAACGGGGCUAAACCAUGCACCGAAGCUGCGGCAGCGACGCUUAUGCGUUGUUGGGUAGGGGAGCGUUCUGUAAGCCUGCGAAGGUGUGCUGUGAGGCAUGCUGGAGGUAUCAGAAGUGCGAAUGCUGACAUAAGUAACGAUAAAGCGGGUGAAAAGCCCGCUCGCCGGAAGACCAAGGGUUCCUGUCCAACGUUAAUCGGGGCAGGGUGAGUCGACCCCUAAGGCGAGGCCGAAAGGCGUAGUCGAUGGGAAACAGGUUAAUAUUCCUGUACUUGGUGUUACUGCGAAGGGGGGACGGAGAAGGCUAUGUUGGCCGGGCGACGGUUGUCCCGGUUUAAGCGUGUAGGCUGGUUUUCCAGGCAAAUCCGGAAAAUCAAGGCUGAGGCGUGAUGACGAGGCACUACGGUGCUGAAGCAACAAAUGCCCUGCUUCCAGGAAAAGCCUCUAAGCAUCAGGUAACAUCAAAUCGUACCCCAAACCGACACAGGUGGUCAGGUAGAGAAUACCAAGGCGCUUGAGAGAACUCGGGUGAAGGAACUAGGCAAAAUGGUGCCGUAACUUCGGGAGAAGGCACGCUGAUAUGUAGGUGAAGUCCCUCGCGGAUGGAGCUGAAAUCAGUCGAAGAUACCAGCUGGCUGCAACUGUUUAUUAAAAACACAGCACUGUGCAAACACGAAAGUGGACGUAUACGGUGUGACGCCUGCCCGGUGCCGGAAGGUUAAUUGAUGGGGUUAGCGCAAGCGAAGCUCUUGAUCGAAGCCCCGGUAAACGGCGGCCGUAACUAUAACGGUCCUAAGGUAGCGAAAUUCCUUGUCGGGUAAGUUCCGACCUGCACGAAUGGCGUAAUGAUGGCCAGGCUGUCUCCACCCGAGACUCAGUGAAAUUGAACUCGCUGUGAAGAUGCAGUGUACCCGCGGCAAGACGGAAAGACCCCGUGAACCUUUACUAUAGCUUGACACUGAACAUUGAGCCUUGAUGUGUAGGAUAGGUGGGAGGCUUUGAAGUGUGGACGCCAGUCUGCAUGGAGCCGACCUUGAAAUACCACCCUUUAAUGUUUGAUGUUCUAACGUGGACCCGUAAUCCGGGUUGCGGACAGUGUCUGGUGGGUAGUUUGACUGGGGCGGUCUCCUCCUAAAGAGUAACGGAGGAGCACGAAGGUUGGCUAAUCCUGGUCGGACAUCAGGAGGUUAGUGCAAUGGCAUAAGCCAGCUUGACUGCGAGCGUGACGGCGCGAGCAGGUGCGAAAGCAGGUCAUAGUGAUCCGGUGGUUCUGAAUGGAAGGGCCAUCGCUCAACGGAUAAAAGGUACUCCGGGGAUAACAGGCUGAUACCGCCCAAGAGUUCAUAUCGACGGCGGUGUUUGGCACCUCGAUGUCGGCUCAUCACAUCCUGGGGCUGAAGUAGGUCCCAAGGGUAUGGCUGUUCGCCAUUUAAAGUGGUACGCGAGCUGGGUUUAGAACGUCGUGAGACAGUUCGGUCCCUAUCUGCCGUGGGCGCUGGAGAAUUGAGGGGGGCUGCUCCUAGUACGAGAGGACCGGAGUGGACGCAUCACUGGUGUUCGGGUUGUCAUGCCAAUGGCACUGCCCGGUAGCUAAAUGCGGAAGAGAUAAGUGCUGAAAGCAUCUAAGCACGAAACUUGCCCCGAGAUGAGUUCUCCCUGACUCCUUGAGAGUCCUGAAGGAACGUUGAAGACGACGACGUUGAUAGGCCGGGUGUGUAAGCGCAGCGAUGCGUUGAGCUAACCGGUACUAAUGAACCGUGAGGCUUAACCUU
Molecule: ribosomal RNA, 2904 nt
Filed under: Escherichia coli O112ab:H8
Lineage: Bacteria; Pseudomonadati; Pseudomonadota; Gammaproteobacteria; Enterobacterales; Enterobacteriaceae
Description: 23S ribosomal RNA
Rfam family: Bacterial large subunit ribosomal RNA
Source: RNAcentral